GAACGCUGAAACCAGAUGCUUGCAUUUGGUGGAUGAGUGGCGAACGGGUGAGUAACACGUGGGUGAUCUGCCCUACACUUUGGGAUAAGCCUGGGAAACUGGGUCUAAUACCGAAUAUUCACACCACCGUAGGGGUGGUGUGGAAAGCUUUAUGCGGUGUGGGAUGAGCCUGCGGCCUAUCAGCUUGUUGGUGGGGUAAUGGCCUACCAAGGCGUCGACGGGUAGCCGGCCUGAGAGGGUGUACGGCCACAUUGGGACUGAGACACGGCCCAGACUCCUACGGGAGGCAGCAGUGGGGAAUAUUGCACAAUGGGCGCAAGCCUGAUGCAGCGACGCCGCGUGGGGGAUGACGGCCUUCGGGUUGUAAACUCCUUUCGCUAGGGACGAAGCCACUUGUGGUGACGGUACCUGGAGAAGAAGCACCGGCUAACUACGUGCCAGCAGCCGCGGUAAUACGUAGGGUGCGAGCGUUGUCCGGAAUUACUGGGCGUAAAGAGCUCGUAGGUGGUUUGUCGCGUCGUCUGUGAAAUCCCGGGGCUUAACUUCGGGCGUGCAGGCGAUACGGGCAUAACUUGAGUGCUGUAGGGGAGACUGGAAUUCCUGGUGUAGCGGUGAAAUGCGCAGAUAUCAGGAGGAA
RNAcentral lists this ribosomal RNA (637 nucleotides) under Corynebacterium glutamicum. Its description in RNAcentral is "bacterial SSU rRNA". It matches the Rfam family "Bacterial small subunit ribosomal RNA", at positions 64 to 706 of the family's 1533-position model. The record is from RNAcentral. Lineage: Bacteria; Bacillati; Actinomycetota; Actinomycetes; Mycobacteriales; Corynebacteriaceae.